GACGAACGCUGGCGGCGUGCUUAACACAUGCAAGUCGAACGGAAAGUCCCUGCUUUUGUGGGGUGCUCGAGUGGCGAACGGGUGAGUAACACGUGAGUAACCUGCCCUUGACUUUGGGAUAACUUCAUGAAACUGGGGCUAAUACCGGAUAGGAGCUCCUGCUGCUUGGUGGGGGUUGGAAAGUUUCGGCGGUUGGGGAUGGACUCGCGGCUUAUCAGCUUGUUGGUGGGGUAGUGGCUUACCAAGGCUUUGACGGGUAGCCGGCCUGAGAGGGUGACCGGCCACAUUGGGACUGAGAUACGGCCCAGACUCCUACGGGAGGCAGCAGUGGGGAAUAUUGCACAAUGGGCGGAAGCCUGAUGCAGCAACGCCGCGUGCGGGAUGACGGCCUUCGGGUUGUAAACCGCUUUCGCCUGUGACGAAGCGUGAGUGACGGUAAUGGGUAAAGAAGCACCGGCUAACUACGUG
This 468-nucleotide ribosomal RNA is filed under the name uncultured bacterium. RNAcentral describes it as "partial 16S ribosomal RNA". It matches the Rfam family "Bacterial small subunit ribosomal RNA", at positions 28 to 507 of the family's 1533-position model. The record is from RNAcentral.